GGGACUAUAGUUAAUAAUAACAUUUGAGUUGCAUUCAAAAAGUACUAUCAUAUAGUUAGCCUCA
This 64-nucleotide transfer RNA is filed under the name Orthognathotermes sp. n. RNAcentral's name for it is "tRNA-Ala". The record is from RNAcentral. Lineage: Eukaryota; Metazoa; Arthropoda; Insecta; Blattodea; Termitidae. RNAcentral also lists the same sequence under 1 other name.